Molecule: long non-coding RNA, 408 nt
Organism: Bombyx mori (domestic silkworm)
Lineage: Eukaryota; Metazoa; Arthropoda; Insecta; Lepidoptera; Bombycidae
Exons: 2
Source: RefSeq, a predicted model, not a curated record
UACAAUUGUCCAAGCCUGUAAGCCUAUGUCAAGUAGUCGAGUUCCGAUGACUGACCGAUGAUGGUGAUGGAAUAUUCACAGUUAUUUACAUAUGGGUGGUGUCUUUGAAAAGAUCUAAAGCUAUUUCCACACGGAAGGUCUAUUAGAGGAUUUCACUGAAAUAAAUAUCUAAACCACUCCUGCUUCAUGUCCUGUGAUAUUAUGGACACAACCUCCCGUUUCUUAGAACGACAAAGAAAUAGAUACUUUUUCAGUCAAGCAUGUGCUUUGAUGCAUCCACCAAUGAUGGAACUGAUUCCAAUGCGUGAAUAAACUUAGUUUAUCUCUUAAGCCAAAAGCCACUAAGCUGUGCGUUAAACAGUAAGUAAGUACGUAAAAAGGAAUAAAAGUCGUCCAUAAAAAUGAAAA